RNAcentral lists this ribosomal RNA (200 nucleotides) under uncultured bacterium. Its description in RNAcentral is "partial 16S ribosomal RNA". It matches the Rfam family "Bacterial small subunit ribosomal RNA", at positions 29 to 223 of the family's 1533-position model. The record is from RNAcentral.
AGUGAACGCUGGCGGUAGGCCUAACACAUGCAAGUCGAACGGCAGCACAGGAGAGCUUGCUCUCUGGGUGGCGAGUGGCGGACGGGUGAGGAAUACAUCGGAAUCUACCUUUUCGUGGGGGAUAACGUAGGGAAACUUACGCUAAUACCGCAGUACGACCUACGGGUGAAAGUGGGGGACCGCAAGGCCUCACGCGAUUA